CAGCAGCCGCGGUAAUACGUAGGUGGCAGGCGUUGUCCGGAAUUAUUGGGCGUAAAGCGCGCGCAGGCGGAUAGGUCAGUCUGUCUUAAAAGUUCGGGGCUUAACCCCGUGAUGGGAUGGAAGCUGCCAAUCUAGAGUAUCGGAGAGGAAAGUGGAACUCCUAGUGUAGCGGUGAAAUGCGUAGAUAUUAGGAAGAACACCAGUGGCGAAGGCGACUUUCUGGACGAAAACUGACGCUGAGGCGCGAAAGCCAGGGGAGCGAACGGGAUUAGAUACCCCCGUAGUCCCUGUCUCUUAUACA
RNAcentral lists this ribosomal RNA (301 nucleotides) under uncultured bacterium. RNAcentral's name for it is "partial 16S ribosomal RNA". It matches the Rfam family "Bacterial small subunit ribosomal RNA", at positions 509 to 809 of the family's 1533-position model. The record is from RNAcentral.